Cornus florida is the source of this 1017-nucleotide long non-coding RNA. RefSeq lists it as uncharacterized. The transcript is spliced from 7 exons. Lineage: Eukaryota; Viridiplantae; Streptophyta; Magnoliopsida; Cornales; Cornaceae. The record is from RefSeq and is a predicted model, not a curated record.
UGAAGCAAACAAAGACAAAGAUAGGAGGGUGAAUGUGAGGUAGCUCCUUUGUGACAGUUCUGAGCUUCUUCUUCAGUUCUAUAUAUCUCCAAAGCUGGCCACCCCCUUUCUCUCAGACCGUCCAAGCCGUCAUUCUUCUUUCUCUCCAAGCCCAACCCUUCUACCGAAGCCACUGAGGGUUGAAUCGAUGGUCAGCGCAGCGUUAGAGCAGAGAAGAUAGCGGCACAGCUGAUUGGCGUCGAGAUUGAACAAGGAUUCGCCCCUUUCUCCAAGCCCUAACCCUAGCUCCCUCUCUCAUUCGAAGCCCUAAAUUCGAAGGACACGAAUUAAGCUGUCCCGUAUCUAAAAACCCAAGCUUGAAUCCGCAGUUUAGUAUAUAAAUCAGUUUUUCGUGUGGGCUGGUCAAGCUUUGUUUGGGACUCUUAUGCCUGACAUAAUUGUUCUCACUCUCUUGUACAGCAUAGCUGGGUCACUUCCAGUAGGCAUUUGGCUCUGAGACUGCUAAAUGGAUUUGUGUUGGUGCUAUUGACGUUACUCAACUCUCUGUGGCUGGAACGUGACUAUUGUUUAUAUCUGAUAACAGUGUCUCAACAACAUCUAGUUGCCGCCAUUAUGUUAAACUGAAGACCUUCUACAAACAAAAAAUAUGGUUACCUUCUAGGAGCUGGUAAACCAUAUUACGCCUUAGCUCUUCUUGGUUUAAUCAUUCCACAAGUCUUUUUCUAGUUCAAAUACUUCCUCAAAGACCCAGUUAAAUAUGAUGUCAAAUAUCAGGUCAAAGCUAGGAUUGCGGUUGCCGUUACUUUUUUUGUUACCGUUAUAUUUUUUGUAUGGCUUAUGAAGAAGUUGCCUAUAUGUAAUAGAAGAGAGAGACUAAAGCAGAGCAAGAAGAUAUAAGAAUUUUUGUUUUAUUUUGGUUUGGCAUAAGAAGCUAGAAAUUUGUAUAUGGUUAAUUUUUGUAUAAAACAAUGAUUUGGAAUUAGUUAUAUAUAUAUAUAUAUAUGAUGUUAUUUGUUA